AUGUCUCCACACACUCUCUGUCUCUCUCUCUCUCUCUCUCUCUCUCCCUCUCUCUCUCUCUCUCUCUCUCUCUCUCUCUCUCUCUCUCUCUCUCUCUCUCUCUCUCUCUCUCUCUCUCUCUCUCUCUCUCUCUCUCUCUCUCUCUCUCUCUCUCUCUCUCUCUCUCUCUCUCUCUCUCUCUCUCUCUCUCUCUCUCUCUCUCUCUCUCUCUCUCACACACACACUUCUCGGCCAUGCUUCAUCCGUCGCGUCUUGGUCCCAGUGUCACUAGUUACUGAGCUGCCGGUAAAUGGAGGUUUUAAUCAAGAGCCCCUGCCUGAUCCUCAGAGACGUGCUGCGGACGGAGGCGGGCCGGGCCUUCCUGGGAAGGCGGAGGUGCAGCCAGCUCACGGCGAACGGCACGCAGACGUCGCCGAAUACCAACGGCCAGACACCGCCCUCCUCGGGUCGCAGGGGGUCGAGGUCGGAGGAGGUGGAGAAGGGAAAGAGGAGAGCCCUCGCUCCUCAGUCCCCGGCCUCCAAUUUGAAGACGCGGGUCGGGGCCUCUCCAAGGGUCCCCGACCACCACAUCACCCCCAGGAGGCCACAGGAGAAGGCCAGCCAGAGGAGAGAGGCAACAGGAGUCAGGGAGCCCCCGAUAAGACCAGACGGCAGAUAUCCAGAAGGAAGAGCCCUUAUAACCGCGUGGGCCCCCCACUGCGUCCCCGGCGGGGGGCCGUACGUCAACCCCUGGACCGGCAGUCGGGGAGGCCUUCCUCGAGGCAGAUGGACGAACCCGGAAUCGAACGGGCGACAGAUCCUAGUGGGUGUUAA
This 813-nucleotide long non-coding RNA is filed under the name Gadus morhua (Atlantic cod). RNAcentral describes it as "lncRNA (ENSGMOG00000033223.1)". Lineage: Eukaryota; Metazoa; Chordata; Actinopteri; Gadiformes; Gadidae. The record is from RNAcentral.